AACCUCAACGAUCUCUUGAUCAACCAAAAGGGAGGUGUGGCCAAGGAAGGGGUUGGGUACGUGCCCGACUCCAAGAACAAGAAGAAGAAUGACAAGACCAAACGACCUUCUCCCCUCAUGCAAAGCUUUGUGAGGGAGGGAGAGAGUGCCCCCGAGGAGAAGAAGAAGAAUAAUGUCAAGAAGGGCAAUGUCACCCCUCCCAACAAAGCCGGCGAUUUUAAUCCUUCUUAUGUGUUAUGCCGUGCUAGUGAUGGGCAUGUUUAUGCCAAAUUUGUUGAUUUUCUUCAUGAGUGCAUUGAAUGGUCUAUUUGGGUUCCUAAGACCCUUGUUACUAACAUCAAAGGACCCAUUACAAAAUGGGUACCUAAAACCAAGCAUUGA
This 381-nucleotide ribosomal RNA is filed under the name Triticum aestivum (bread wheat). Its description in RNAcentral is "partial small subunit ribosomal RNA". The record is from RNAcentral. Lineage: Eukaryota; Viridiplantae; Streptophyta; Magnoliopsida; Poales; Poaceae.